RNAcentral lists this ribosomal RNA (189 nucleotides) under uncultured Bacteroidales bacterium. RNAcentral describes it as "partial 16S ribosomal RNA". It matches the Rfam family "Bacterial small subunit ribosomal RNA", at positions 145 to 334 of the family's 1533-position model. The record is from RNAcentral. Lineage: Bacteria; Pseudomonadati; Bacteroidota; Bacteroidia; Bacteroidales.
AACCCAGCGAAAGUUGGACUAAUACCUUAUGUAUUCGUUUGAUCUCAUGAGAUUACGAAUAAAGAUUUAUCGGUUAUGGAUGGGGAUGCGUCUGAUUAGCUUGUUGGCGGGGUAACGGCCCACCAAGGCAACGAUCAGUAGGGGUUCUGAGAGGAAGGUCCCCCACAUUGGAACUGAGACACGGUCCAA